This 70-nucleotide transfer RNA is filed under the name Ictidomys tridecemlineatus (thirteen-lined ground squirrel). RNAcentral's name for it is "Spermophilus tridecemlineatus (thirteen-lined ground squirrel) tRNA". It matches the Rfam family "tRNA". From Rfam's summary of the family: Transfer RNA (tRNA) molecules are approximately 80 nucleotides in length. Their secondary structure includes four short double-helical elements and three loops (D, anti-codon, and T loops). Lineage: Eukaryota; Metazoa; Chordata; Mammalia; Rodentia; Sciuridae. The record is from Rfam by way of RNAcentral.
GCAGAUGUAGCUUAAUGGUAGAGCACCUACCUGGCACACAGGAGGCUUGGGAUUCAAUCCCAGUACUGCA